GAUCCUUUUGUAGUUCAUGAGCAUGAUGAUUGGGUGUUCACGCUGCUGCGUGACAUGUGCCUCCCUCCAAACCUUGUU
Molecule: small RNA, 78 nt
Filed under: Cervus elaphus hippelaphus
Lineage: Eukaryota; Metazoa; Chordata; Mammalia; Artiodactyla; Cervidae
Rfam family: Small nucleolar RNA U13
Source: RNAcentral